GGUGGAAAGUCAACUCGAGGUGAUGGGGAGCAGUUGCUCGCCUUGGAUAAAGAUAAAAAGAACGCCAUUAUAGCCAUCCAUGGAGGCGGCAUCAGGUAGGACACCCAUCAUUGGUAUCUGCUUGGCACCUAUAAUACUAAUUCAUUGCUUGGCUCACUUCUUGAUCACAGCUCGCUUCUAGUAGAGCCAUGUCUCUGGGCUAUACUUAACACCUUUUAGAUGUGUAGUCACACAGUGUCUGGUAACUCACUAAUUAAUUUCGACUCCUGGUUACUCCAUGACACUUAAUUGUUGUCGUCAGUCAUGGAAAAAGUACUUGUAUUCUUUACUUGAGUAAAAGCUAUCAAUAAUGCAAUAUAGAAAUACUCCGCUACAAUUAAAACAUUCAACAUGCACUUGAGUAAAAGCAUGAAAUUGUUGGCAUCAAUAUGUACUUAAAGUACCAAAAGUAAAAGUAGAAAAUGUUUGAAAAUAGCAGAUCUACAAGCUUGUACAUUGGCUAUUUUCAAAUAUAAAUAGAAUAAAAUGAGGCUAAAGUGGUUCAUGUAUGUUUUAUAAUAAUAUAAUUUAGAUCUGGAAAGUAACUAAAGUUCUCAAAUAAAUGUAGAGUGGAGUAAAAUUACAAUGUAUCCAUCUGAGAUGUAUUGGAGUAGAAGUAUUGGAUAUUGGAAAUACUCAAGUAAAGUACAAAUACCUCAAGACUGCACUUGAGUACAGAAGUUAAAUACAUGUUCUUUACACCACUGGUUGUCGUCUGCGGCGUUAAAAAAAAUCAUAUUCACCUUUCCUUCACCUUCACCCAUAAUCCUAUCUCAUAGGCAUAUUUUGCUAUUCUAGGAAUAGAAGCUGGCUGGUGUGUGUGUGUGUGUGUGAAUGAAAACAUUUCAUUAGGGCAAUGUAAAGCUUUUUAGGUACCGUUGGGUGCAGAAGAGUGCUAUGUAGACUGUCCAUUUCCCAUUGUAAGCAUGUUGGGUUUCUGAUGAAGCACUAUAAUUAUCUUGCAAAAAUUCAAUUGCUAUAAUGAUCAAAAGAUUUGACAAUCACUUCGAAUCUUGGUACUUGCAGGGCCAAAUUCAGAGGGCAGCUCCCGUAGAUUAAAGGAAAAAUACGCCUGAAACGACACUUGGACCAUAUUUAGAGCUUGGUAAAUGAUUUUAAACUCACCAGAGGAGUUUCAAUGUCUUUCAUUUUAUUGUUUAUUUAAAACAGGGACAGGUCACAACAAAUGUGUAGUGAUAGCUUAAAGCUAAUUUGCAUCCGUCGUCCCUAGACGCACUUGCCAUCGGAAACUUCACAGAGAUUUUCAGAGAUGAUUAUAGUCCAAAUUGUCCAUGACACACAGCGUAAUGCAAAUACGGGGCACAGAAAUUCCAGGUUCUAAAUAUAGGCUCUAAAUUAUUUAUUUUCUGCCGUGUGACGGCUCAUACAGUCAUAAAAUGAUCUGUAUAAACACUCGGUUGACACUCGAAAAGCAUUGUGCCAUGUUGACAAAUUGGACUAUAAUCAUCCCUGAAAAUCUACGCAACGCUUCCGAAGGAACUCGAUUGAUACCUCCGAGUUUAAAAUCAUUUGCCAAGCUGUAAAUACGGUCGUUUCGGGCAUAAUUUUCGUUUAAGAAGCUGUCUGCCUCUUAAAAAGUAGAGUGUAGACUUCUACAGUCUAAUUAUUUUUGUCUUCUCUGUAGAGGCUACACUGAAGAAGUGGCCGGGAGUGUCCAGCGGCCAACUUGGGGCAGCCAUCAACCAAAAGCUGACAGAGCUCCGAAGAGCACACAAAAAAUAAUAAUAUUUGGCUAUCUUUUUAUUUUUCAUUGUAUUUGAUUUUUGUUUCUGUUUAUUGCCACUUGAAAGCAUGCACUUUUUUGUUUCUGUUUAUUUGAAAGCUAAUGUUGCACUUUUUUGUUUUUUGUUUAUUGCCACUUAAGCUAAUGUUGCACUUUAAAAUAAUUUUUAAAUAAAGUGUUUAAGUUCUA
Cololabis saira (Pacific saury) is the source of this 1972-nucleotide long non-coding RNA. RefSeq lists it as uncharacterized. The record is from RefSeq and is a predicted model, not a curated record. NCBI's taxonomy places the organism in Eukaryota, Metazoa, Chordata, Actinopteri, Beloniformes, Belonidae. The transcript is spliced from 2 exons.